This 856-nucleotide long non-coding RNA is filed under the name Cairina moschata (Muscovy duck). RNAcentral's name for it is "domestica (muscovy Duck (domestic type)) lncRNA (ENSCMMG00000010115.1)". Lineage: Eukaryota; Metazoa; Chordata; Aves; Anseriformes; Anatidae. The record is from RNAcentral.
CUGAAGUACUUUAAUUUCGUAGGGUGAAAAUGAAACAACUGUUACUGCUCAUUCUUUGCUUCUCUUAGCACCCAGCUGUUUCUCAACAGCAGGGAAUCUGACUUAGGGCAUCUGAUUAUGACCAUGUGAUAUUUUGCAAACUCAAAUCUUUUUCCCCAUAAAAGCAAAUAGAGGUGGUAGCUGGGCUCACGGGGUUAAUAUUGUCACAUGCUGACAUGCUUUAUCACUUAAUUAUUUUUCUGUCAAAUUUCAAAGACUUCUAGCUAUAGUUCAGGUUUUUUAUUUUUAUUUUUUCAGUCUCCAAAUCACAGCAACUAUUUGAAAUGCAGUGAUCACAAGGAGACUAUUCUGUUCAUUUUGUACUUCUGAAGGAAAAUAAAUGUGCUCUGGAGAAAAUUCUUUGCUUUAAAAGUAAGCUCAAAAUUUUGUAGCUAAGAGCAAUAUAAUAUCAGCACAAUUUUUCCUUCAUAUGGAAUUUGUCAAGGUCUCCCCCCUCCAGUUAUGUAAUUUCCUAGAUAUUUUGCUCAGUAAUAAUCUUUAAAUUACAUUUAAAAAAAAAUAAUAAAACACAUGUAAAAGCUAUUUUGAUAGGAAACUUCCACAGCAGAUUUUGCUACCAAGUUAGAAGGCAUCUAUGCAACUGGCAGAAGCAAUCAUAAUGUUUUUAGCUAUUGUCCUAAGAACUCAUGAGAGCUCCACAGAACUGUGCGGCUGCACUUUUGUCCUCACUGCCUAGAACCCUGCCUCUGAGGAAAAUCAAAUCAGAGAUGCUAAGGAGUAAGUAGAUUACUGGACUAGCUUUAUGAUGUUUACUGAAGAUUAUAAAAAGAUUAUAUAAGGCAUACCCUUAUUUUCU